AACGAACGCUGGCGGCAGGCCUAACACAUGCAAGUCGAGCGGGGACUUCGGUCCUAGCGGCGGACGGGUGAGUAACGCGUGGGAACGUGCCCUUUGCUUCGGAAUAGCCCCUGGAAACGGGGAGUAAUACCGGAUGUGCUCGAGAGAGGAAAGAUUUUUCGGCAAAGGAUCGGCCCGCGUUGGAUUAGGUAGUUGGUGGGGUAAUGGCCUACCAAGCCGACGAUCCAUAGCUGGUUUGAGAGGAUGAUCAGCCACACUGGGACUGAGACACGGCCCAGACUCCUACGGGAGGCAGCAGUGGGGAAUCUUAGACAAUGGGCGCAAGCCUGAUCUAGCCA
This 338-nucleotide ribosomal RNA is filed under the name uncultured bacterium. RNAcentral describes it as "bacterial SSU rRNA". It matches the Rfam family "Bacterial small subunit ribosomal RNA", at positions 29 to 394 of the family's 1533-position model. The record is from RNAcentral.